RNAcentral lists this transfer RNA (59 nucleotides) under Dispira parvispora. Its description in RNAcentral is "tRNA-Asn". It matches the Rfam family "tRNA", at positions 8 to 63 of the family's 71-position model. From Rfam's summary of the family: Transfer RNA (tRNA) molecules are approximately 80 nucleotides in length. Their secondary structure includes four short double-helical elements and three loops (D, anti-codon, and T loops). Lineage: Eukaryota; Fungi; Kickxellomycota; Dimargaritomycetes; Dimargaritales; Dimargaritaceae. The record is from RNAcentral.
UGGCGCAAUUGGCUAGCGCGUCUGACUGUUAAUCAGGAGGUUGGUGGUUCGAGCCCACC